RNAcentral lists this microRNA (21 nucleotides) under Mus musculus (house mouse). RNAcentral's name for it is "mmu-miR-12201-5p". The record is from miRBase by way of RNAcentral. Lineage: Eukaryota; Metazoa; Chordata; Mammalia; Rodentia; Muridae.
UGGAAGGAUGCCUCUUGCAGA